UACGUAGGGUGCAAGCGUUGUCCGGAAUUAUUGGGCGUAAAGGGCUCGUAGGCGGUUUGUCGCGUCGGGUGUGAAAUCCACUGGCUUAACUGGUGGCUUGCUUUCGAUACGGGCAGACUGGAGGUAUGCAGGGGAGAGCGGAAUUCCUGGUGUAGCGGUGAAAUGCGCAGAUAUCAGGAGGAACACCGGUGGCGAAGGCGGUUCUCUGGGCAUGUCCUGACGCUGAGGAGCGAAAGUGUGGGGAGCGAACAGG
This 253-nucleotide ribosomal RNA is filed under the name uncultured bacterium. RNAcentral describes it as "partial 16S ribosomal RNA". It matches the Rfam family "Bacterial small subunit ribosomal RNA", at positions 524 to 776 of the family's 1533-position model. The record is from RNAcentral.